GGAGUGUAGUGGUAGAACAUCUGCUUUGCAUGCAGAAGGUCCCAGGUUCAAUCCCCAGCAGCUCCC
This 66-nucleotide transfer RNA is filed under the name Podarcis lilfordi (Lilford's wall lizard). Its description in RNAcentral is "tRNA.Ala". It matches the Rfam family "tRNA". From Rfam's summary of the family: Transfer RNA (tRNA) molecules are approximately 80 nucleotides in length. Their secondary structure includes four short double-helical elements and three loops (D, anti-codon, and T loops). Further hydrogen bonds mediate the characteristic L-shaped molecular structure. tRNAs have two regions of fundamental functional importance: the anti-codon, which is responsible for specific mRNA codon recognition, and the 3' end, to which the tRNAs corresponding amino acid is attached (by aminoacyl-tRNA synthetases). tRNAs cope with the degeneracy of the genetic code in two manners: having more than one tRNA (with a specific anti-codon) for a particular amino acid; and 'wobble' base-pairing, i.e. permitting non-standard base-pairing at the 3rd anti-codon position. The record is from RNAcentral. Lineage: Eukaryota; Metazoa; Chordata; Lepidosauria; Squamata; Lacertidae.